This is a long non-coding RNA of Cannabis sativa, 1242 nucleotides long. RefSeq lists it as uncharacterized. The record is from RefSeq and is a predicted model, not a curated record. The transcript is spliced from 3 exons. Lineage: Eukaryota; Viridiplantae; Streptophyta; Magnoliopsida; Rosales; Cannabaceae.
UAUAUACACAUAAUCAUAGAACUAUUUAUAUUAUUAGCAUCAAAUCUCUAUCAGCUCUUGUUUCUGGCCGGCGGUGGAUUAUUUUGGAUUUAUGGUCAAGUUAGCUUCCGAGAUAGGUUGGCGUCCGGUCCACGGGACUGUACAGUGCAGUGCUAUAUAUCAAUUCUUAGUUAGUUCAAUUGUUUUGAUCAGCAUAAUUAAUAUUUUUGUAUAUCUAUAUGUAUACACACGUGUGUAUAUUAACACACGUAUAUCUACAGUAAAUUUCAGCGGCUUAGAAGAUCAUGGCGUCAGAAAAGAGAGGACACUCAUUAAUUUAAAGAUUCAAUUGGGGUAUAUCUGUCUGAGCGGUAGUGUUUGCUAAUCGUCCAAAUCGUUUCGAUUAUGAGCUGGUUUGAGGUUCUGCAGAUCACAACUAAUGCAGAUCAAGUUUGAGCUAAUUUUCCUCUUUCGUUGGCUGAUAUCAUAUUUUACUUUACAAAUAAAAAACUAGUGGAUGCUCUAAUCGAUCAUGCAUAAUAGUAUACUUCAGAAAAAAUAAAAAUGAAAUAUCAUGUAUAAUAGUAAGCAGUUACAAUAUCAUAAUAGAUUUUGUAAUAAGUGUUAAUCUAAAUGCACACCGUAUACCUUUAAAUGUUUGUCCUGAUAGCAUAUUUAAUUUUUUUUUCCUUUUUAUCCUUCCAAAAAGAAAAAAAAAAUCUUUUUUAUAUAACGGAAUAUUUUUAUAUAUUUAGAAUUAUUUUGUUAAACCAACAAAAAAAUAUUAGAUAAUAACUAUUUAAUAUAUAAAGAUUUUAAAUGUUUACUAUUACUUUAUUUUUGUAUAAUAAAAAAGUCAUUGAAUUUUAUAAAUAAAUGCAUUACAAAUAUAUAAAGAGAAAAAUGAAAAUAUACAUAUAAUCAUAAGUUUUCUUUGGGUACAUAAGUGUGUUUAAAAAAUUGGUUAUGAUUUGUGAAAAAAUUAAUUAAUAUUAAACGAUAAAAGAAAAAAAAGAUAUAAUUGUGCCAUGCAUCAAAUAAAUAAAGGGUGCAUGUGCAUUGAUUGAACAUUUCAAUUUCACAAUAUAUUAUUUCAAAUUUAAUUCGUGCUUGUUUUUAAUAUUAUAAUUUAAUUCGAUUAAUUAAUUAUUAAUUAAAUGGAUCAUCAUGCCUUCAAACUAAUUAUUUAUGUCUACCAAAUAAUUUAAAAUUUACUUAUCAAAAAAAAAAAUUAUUAAUUUUAUUUUAUUUAAAAAAGUUCGG